UGUUAAGAAUUUACCACCUAUUGAAGAAAUACAUGGUAUUAAUACACAGCCUAUUGAAGAACCACAUCAUUUUGAUAACCCGACAAAGGUAGUAAAGGUAAAUUCUCUCUAUAGAUAUGAUAAAUUUGAAAUCCCCUCUACUAAAUUUCAUAGCCCAUGCUUAGAUGAAUUUGAUGACUUUAUGGCUAGACAAGAAAGUUUUAAGGCUUAUGUUGGUAGAGAAUUAAGGAAUAAUGCUUUCGAGAUAGGACGCGUAAGCGGUAAUAUGGCUAGAGUUAAAGGUGAACUCAAACUCAUUAGCAAAUAUACUUCUAUGGUUGCUACUCAAGCUGAGCAAGUACUUAAAGCUCAAAAUGAUUUGCUUGAUGAAUUAAAUAAUAAAAAUGACUUUGCUGUUAGAGUGGCUACUAGAACUAGUAGAAUGACUCAGGAACCUUUGUAUCCUGAAGGCCACCCUAAGAGAAUUGAGCAAGAUUCUCAGAGAAAUAAUUUAGAGGCACUUAGUUCUUCUAAAAAGAAGAAAAAGAAAAACGAUAGAACUUUGCAUGCUUCUAGUGAACCUACUGUAGACACACCUGAGAAUCCCAAUGAUAUUUCUAUCUCUGAUGUUGAAACACAAUCAUGUGAU
RNAcentral lists this ribosomal RNA (628 nucleotides) under Triticum aestivum (bread wheat). RNAcentral's name for it is "partial small subunit ribosomal RNA". The record is from RNAcentral. Lineage: Eukaryota; Viridiplantae; Streptophyta; Magnoliopsida; Poales; Poaceae.